GUGAGGAAUUUUCCGCAAUGGGCGAAAGCCUGACGGAGCAAUGCCGCGUGAAGGAUGAAGGCCUAUGGGUUGUAAACUUCUUUUCUCAGAAAAGAAUUAUGACGGUAUCUGAGGAAUAAGCAUCGGCUAACUCUGUGCCAGCAGCCGCGGUAAGACAGAGGAUGCAAGCGUUAUCCGGAAUGAUUGGGCGUAAAGCGUCUGUAGGUUGUUUAAAAAGUAUUCUGUCAAAGAUUAGGGCUUAACCCUAGAUAGGCAGAAUAAACUUUUAAGCUAGAGGUUGGUAGAGGCAGAGGGAAUUCCCGGUGGAGCGGUGAAAUGCGUAGAUAUCGGGAGGAACACCAAAGGCGAAGGCACUCUGCUGGGCCAAUACUAACACUGAGAGACGAAAGCGAGGGGAGCAAAUGGGAUUAGAAACCCGGGUAGUCC
RNAcentral lists this ribosomal RNA (426 nucleotides) under uncultured bacterium. Its description in RNAcentral is "partial 16S ribosomal RNA". It matches the Rfam family "Bacterial small subunit ribosomal RNA", at positions 354 to 796 of the family's 1533-position model. The record is from RNAcentral.